AGUAACUGUAGGGGUGAAGUCCAGACAGAAUUCCAGGGACUUAGGGCGUUGCCCUACAUGACUGACAGCCACAGAAUUAUGGAGCUAUGGCCUCUUGUCAGGAGCCUAGAGUCUGGGAGCAUGGCAAACGGGCCUUCCGUCCCUUGCAGGAACACCUGCUAGGUCUCUGGGGUUUAAACCUAGCUUGGCCAGAAAACAGGCUGCCUUUCAUGGUCCCACAGGUGGUGGUCAAAAAGCUAUCAUAAUUUUUGUACCAUUUCCUCAGCUGAAAUCUUUCCAGAAAAUCCAAGUCUGGCUAGUUUCAGUGUGAAACAUGUAGUCUUCAUCGAUCAGAGGAGGAUUCUGUCCAAGUCAAGCAGGAAAAGCCCUAUGAAAAAUAAACAAAAGCACCCCAGAACCCGCUCCUGACAGCAGUGCACGAAGCCAUCCUUGAGGACUUGGUCUUCCCAAGGGAAAUUGUGGGUAAGAGGAUCCCGGUGAACCUGGAUGGCAGUCGGCUCAUAAAGGUUCCUUUAAACAAAGCACAGCAGAGAAGCGCGGAGCACAAGGUCGGAACUUUUCCUGGUUCCUUUGGGAGUAUCAGCCGGUGGCUUUGAGUGGUUAAAAGCAGAUGGGGACAGUGGAUACCAACCCUGCCAUAACCUUGCUACAAGGUCACUGAGUGAGCAAUCUGUAUCAUAUUCCAACUGUGGACGAAUACUUUAUUCUCAAGCAGGAACACUCCCUGGCCUGUCUGCAGGCAGGGAGAGACCCUACUCAGCCUCUGGCACGUAGGGCAGCAUUGACAGAGAAAGGCAGGACUCGGGAGAGUGUCAGAAAAGGCACAUGGCUUUAUGACAAGAACACCACGGCCUGCCCGACUGCCAAUAGCCAGCUUGCAUUCUCUAAAAUCUGGCCACAGCACUCCUAGUCCUGCAACUUCCUGCAACAGCUACAGCACUCGCAAAUGGGCUCACAGCUGGCUUCAAAUGCCUCAGUCAUCAUACUGACAGCCCUAAUGCUCUUACCUAUGCAGUAAUGUCCAAAAGGACAAGGACAUAUGUGCUGGAGGAUAGGAGCUACAAUCUGGCUUACGCUGCCUUCCAAGUGGAGUCUCAGCCUUCCACUCCCUCAGCUGUGGUACUCUGGACCCUACCUGACCGCUGCCACCACCUCAUCCUACUUAACUAUUGUUGGUCACCCUCACCAGGUUCUGUGGGCUUGGCUCAGGUCCCCUGUACUGGUUUGUAAUGGGACAUGAUGGCAAGGGUAAGUCUCUUACCAACUCAGUCAGCUGCCCCUACAUCUCAGGUCAGAGGUUACAAUAUUCUAGGGGUCACCUACCCCCACAGGCUGGGGAAUGUAUCUAUGGAAAAAAGAUGUACUUGGCUUGACUUAACUUGCCUCCCAGCUCAGCCUGAUAUUUUGGGCCAACAACUGGCAAGAGAGGAACUCAGAAGCGGAUGAUGGACUCUGUGAGUCAACUGAGUCACAAAAAAAGGACCUCUGAACUUCCGAUGGAGAGCCUGAGGGUGUCUGCCUUCACCAUGUGCUAUGAUUUGUAUAUGCUUGGCCCAGGGAGUGGCACUAUUAGAAGGUGUGACUCUGUUGGAACAGGUGUGGCCCUGUUGGAGUAGGUGUGUCACUGUGGGCGUAGGCUAUAAGACCCUCAUCCUAGCUGCCUGGAAGCCAGUAUUCUGCUAGCAGCCUUCAGAUGAAGAUGUAGAACUCUCGGCUCCUCCUUCACCAGGCCUGCCUGAAUGCUGCAAUGUUCCUUCCUUGAUGACAGUGGACUGAACCUCUGAAUGUAUAAGCCAGUCCCAAUUAAAUGUUGACCUUAUCAGAGUAGCCUUGGUCAUGGUGUCUGUUCACAGCUGUAGAACCUUACUAACUAAGACACCACACUAUUCCUGGUAAGGAGUGGCUGUCCAGAGGUACUCUCAAUUUUGUCCCAUGGGAUGAACAGAUUCUGAAGGUAGGUAUUGGAGAGAAGACCCACUCAGACAAGAAAUGGCAAGUGUAGAGACAGGCCACUGAUAGAGAGUGACAACUAGAGAUGGAGACUCGGAAUGCUAAAGCUGUCAAAGAGGGAAAACAGAGAUCAGAAGAGUCCCUGACAACCAGAAGAGUCCCUGACAACCAGUAACAGCCAGUUGAUCCUGGAGGCAGCCCAGAAGCUGAAAGCCAACAGUUAGAGAAGCACAGUGCACAGCGGAAGAAAGAAUAGAACUCUAGUCUUAGAGAAAACAAACAGAUCCCACAGGGUAGAGGUGGGGAGCAGAGGUGAGAGUCCCACCCAGAGCAUCCCUUCUUAAAGGGGCAAGUUCCUGUUUUCCAGAUCAGCCCAAAUUCGCCUGACCUUCCUCCACUGGUUAGGGAGAAGGUAGCUUAAAAAGAAAAUUUUAAAACAUCACUGAAGUGUCUGAAUCUAUUUUGUGUUGUUGCUAUAAAAUAUCUGAUGCCAGACACUUUAUAAAGAAGAGAUUCACUCAGCUUACAGUUUUGGAGGAUGAGUGAGGUGACUUCAUCCGUUUGGUGUCUGUUUCCCUCUGUGUCAAGACAUGGCCGAUGGUACUGUGGAUGGAGUGGAUACCCGUGGAAGAGAAGGAUCACGUGGUGAUGCAGGAAGCAAGAGACCAGGGGAAAAAGCAGGGAUGCCAUCUUUAUAACACUCUGCCACACCCAGACCUGACCUACUCCUAGGACACCAGAACUAAUCCAUUCAUGAAACUGAGGCCUCUGUGACCCAAUGACCUCCCACGGGCCCAGCUUUUAAGGCUCCCACCCCAUCCACACUGCUGCCAUGGGAACCAAGCCUCUUACAAGAACCUUUGGAGACAACCCCUAUCCACAGUAACCUGGUCAAGCCAGAGGGAGAGAAAGGGAAACACCUUACACCGGAGGCUCCUUAACCAGCACUUUCGCCUGCUCUGUUGACAAGAGAUCCUGCAUUCCACUUAGCAUCGAAUCCAGCAAAAUCCGCCUUGCAUUCUGCAGCUGCACUAAUGUCUCCAGUCAAAAAUUACUUCUAAUCUUUCUAUGCUUAUUAACCAGGCCUAGGGAUUUCAGAUUAGGACUCUUCAUAUGCUAAUUAGCCACCCCAGGGUGUGGAACAGAAUUAAUUUGUCCAUUUCAAGACUGAGAGCCACCAACCCAACCUAACAGAAGAAAAGCCAAGGGCCCGGGAAGAGCCCCGGGAGUGGACAUGCUACUUCAGCCGAAGUGGUUGGGGAAAAGACCACCGAAUUCAGGUCCAGUCAAGUCUCUGGUUCAGGGAUGGAUCUUCCAUGAAAAAUAUUAUCAUUUGUCACCUAUCAUUGGGAAUACAGUCUGAAAAUGAA
This 3320-nucleotide long non-coding RNA is filed under the name Mus musculus (house mouse). RNAcentral describes it as "predicted gene, 35387". The record is from RNAcentral. Lineage: Eukaryota; Metazoa; Chordata; Mammalia; Rodentia; Muridae.